This 468-nucleotide ribosomal RNA is filed under the name uncultured bacterium. RNAcentral's name for it is "partial 16S ribosomal RNA". It matches the Rfam family "Bacterial small subunit ribosomal RNA", at positions 28 to 507 of the family's 1533-position model. The record is from RNAcentral.
GACGAACGCUGGCGGCGUGCUUAACACAUGCAAGUCGAACGGAAAGGCCCUGCUUUUGUGGGGUGCUCGAGUGGCGAACGGGUGAGUAACACGUGAGUAACCUGCCCUUGACUUUGGGAUAACUUCAGGAAACUGGGGCUAAUACCGGAUAGGAGCUCCUGCUGCAUGGUGGGGGUUGGAAAGUUUCGGCGGUUGGGGAUGGACUCGCGGCUUAUCAGCUUGUUGGUGGGGUAGUGGCUUACCAAGGCUUUGACGGGUAGCCGGCCUGAGAGGGUGACCGGCCACAUUGGGACUGAGAUACGGCGCAGACUGCUACGGGAGGCAGCAGUGGGGAAUAUGGCACAAUGGGCGGAAGCCUGAUGCAGCAACGCCGCGUGCGGGAUGACGGCCUUCGGGGUGUAAACCGCUUUCGCCUGUGACGAAGCGUGAGUGACGGUAAUGGGUAAAGAAGCACCGGCUAACUACGUG